Molecule: microRNA precursor, 65 nt
Filed under: Ovis aries (sheep)
Lineage: Eukaryota; Metazoa; Chordata; Mammalia; Artiodactyla; Bovidae
Description: miRNA (ENSOARG00000023256.1)
Source: RNAcentral
AGUCAGCCUGUGUUUUGAAGUUUCAAAGCCAGGCAUUGACUUCUCUCUAGUUAUGAGAGUCCUAA